AUGGAGAGAUUAGCAACCAUUUGGAUAGCAGUGAAUUAUGCCCAUCACACCUGCACAAAAGGAAAGAACAUCUCAGUUUUACCAAGCAAAGCAGGAAAGUGCUUGUCACCAUCUAACAUAAAUGCUUAUCAGAUCACAAACCAAUUGAUAAUAAAGUGGGACCUGCCCACAGCUCAUACACCAUAUGAGCUGAGAUACAGAGAGGCACUCACAGAAUCUACUCCAUGGACAGUGGUGGCUGUAGGAAGCAAUGUUGUCAAUGUCACCAUUUCAAAUUUAAAUGCUAUGUCUUCAUACAUUGUUCAGUUCAGAUGCAUCACCAAGGAUGGUCUCAACUGUGUUUGCAUUUGGAGCAAAGAGAUUUUGGUCCCUCACAGUAAGUGAAAUGUAG
This 391-nucleotide long non-coding RNA is filed under the name Chloebia gouldiae (Gouldian finch). RNAcentral describes it as "Erythrura gouldiae (Gouldian finch) lncRNA (ENSEGOG00005003400.1)". The record is from RNAcentral. Lineage: Eukaryota; Metazoa; Chordata; Aves; Passeriformes; Passeridae.